This 468-nucleotide ribosomal RNA is filed under the name uncultured bacterium. Its description in RNAcentral is "partial 16S ribosomal RNA". It matches the Rfam family "Bacterial small subunit ribosomal RNA", at positions 28 to 507 of the family's 1533-position model. The record is from RNAcentral.
GACGAACGCUGGCGGCGUGCUUAACACAUGCAAGUCGAACGGAAAGGCCCUGCUUUUGUGGGGUGCUCGAGUGGCGAACGGGUGAGUAACACGUGAGUAACCUGCCCUUGACUUUGGGAUAACUUCAGGAAACUGGGGCUAAUACCGGAUAGGAGCUCCUGCUGCAUGGUGGGGGUUGGAAAGUUUCGGCGGUUGGGGAUGGACUCGCGGCUUAUCAGCUUGUUGGUAGGGUAGUGGCUUACCAAGGCUUUGACGGGUAGCCGGCCUGAGAGGGUGGCCGGCCACAUUGGGACUGAGAUACGGCCCAGACUCCUACGGGAGGCAGCAGUGGGGAAUAUUGCACAAUGGGCGGAAGCCUGAUGCAGCAACGCCGCGUGCGGGAUGACGGCCUUCGGGUUGUAAACCGCUUUCGCCUGUGACGAAGCGUGAGUGACGGUAAUGGGUAAAGAAGCACCGGCUAACUACGUG